ACUCCUACGGGAGGCAGCAGUGGGGAAUCUUGGACAAUGGGCGCAAGCCUGAUCCAGCCAUGCCGCGUGAGUGAUGAAGGCCCUAGGGUCGUAAAGCUCUUUCGCCAGAGAUGAUAAUGACAGUAUCUGGUAAAGAAACCCCGGCUAACUCCGUGCCAGCAGCCGCGGUAAUACGGAGGGGUUAGCGUUGUUCGGAAUUACUGGGCGUAAAGCGUACGUAGGCGGAUUAGUUAGUCAGAGGUGAAAUCCCAGGGCUCAACCCUGGAACUGCCUUUGAUACUGCUAGUCUUGAGUUCGAGAGAGGUGAGUGGAAUUCCGAGUGUAGAGGUGAAAUUCGUAGAUAUUCGGAGGAACACCAGUGGCGAAGGCGGCUCACUGGCUCGAUACUGACGCUGAGGUACGAAAGUGUGGGGAGCAAACAGGAUUAGAUACCCUGGUAGCGACUGA
Molecule: ribosomal RNA, 447 nt
Filed under: uncultured bacterium
Lineage: Bacteria
Description: bacterial SSU rRNA
Rfam family: Bacterial small subunit ribosomal RNA
Source: RNAcentral